Molecule: ribosomal RNA, 607 nt
Filed under: uncultured Burkholderia sp.
Lineage: Bacteria; Pseudomonadati; Pseudomonadota; Betaproteobacteria; Burkholderiales; Burkholderiaceae
Description: bacterial SSU rRNA
Rfam family: Bacterial small subunit ribosomal RNA
Source: RNAcentral
UGCCUUACACAUGCAAGUCGAACGGCAGCACGGGUGCUUGCACCUGGUGGCGAGUGGCGAACGGGUGAGUAAUACAUCNGAACAUGUCCUGUAGUGGGGGAUAGCCCGGCGAAAGCCGGAUUAAUACCGCAUACGAUCUGAGGAUGAAAGCGGGGGACCUCCGGGCCUCGCGCUAUAGGGUUGGCCGAUGGCUGAUUAGCUAGUUGGUGGGGUAAAGGCCUACCAAGGCGACGAUCAGUAGCUGGUCUGAGAGGACGACCAGCCACACUGGGACUGAGACACGGCCCAGACUCCUACGGGAGGCAGCAGUGGGGAAUUUUGGACAAUGGGCGAAAGCCUGAUCCAGCAAUGCCGCGUGUGUGAAGAAGGCCUUCGGGUUGUAAAGCACUUUUGUCCGGAAAGAAAUCCUUGGUUCUAAUAUAGCCGGGGGAUGACGGUACCGGAAGAAUAAGCACCGGCUAACUACGUGCCAGCAGCCGCGGUAAUACGUAGGGUGCAAGCGUUAAUCGGAAUUACUGGGCGUAAAGCGUGCGCAGGCGGUUUGCUAANACCGAUGUGAAAUCCCCGGGCUCAACCUGGGAACUGCAUUGGUGACUGGNAGGCUAGA